RNAcentral lists this long non-coding RNA (1814 nucleotides) under Ananas comosus (pineapple). Its description in RNAcentral is "long non-coding RNA (ACOM_LNC034281)". The record is from RNAcentral. Lineage: Eukaryota; Viridiplantae; Streptophyta; Magnoliopsida; Poales; Bromeliaceae.
AUCCUUACUGCACCCACUAUGAUCGAAAUAUAAGCUGAUUCGCGAACAAAAAAAAAUACAAUGACAAUCCUACACAACCUUAUUACCAUUAGAAAUCUCAAUGAUUUGAUGUUAUUGCAAGUUUGCUCUAACCGAAAAUUAAAAGUAAAAUUAGAUUGCAUUGGAAUGCGAAAUGAAGGUGACGAAUCAUUCAAAAAUCUUUGGUUAAAUUGUUGGAAUAAGAUCAUAAUGAAUAAUAAUUAGGAAGCAUAGGAUUUUGAUAAAUGGUUUUGGUUCAGGGAGAGGAGGAAAAGGUAUUUGUUUGAGAGAGGGUUGUGAGUAGUUUAUCUUGAAAUGGGUCAAAUCCAGAAUUCAAAACUUUUGGAAUAGUUGUUUGUGAAAAGUAAUUAGACGAAAGGAAAGGAAAGACAUCUUAAUAUAAAAAAAAAACUUCAGAUAUCAUUCAUGUGGUUUCGUAUUUUUUUUAUUUUAAUAUUAUGUGGUUUAAAGUGUAUCAAUUUAAUACCCCGUGAUUUUAUUUUUCUCUUCUUAUUAUUCCAUCCACUAAUUUUUUUUCUUUAAAUUAAUGACAAAGUUAAAACUAAAAAUACUAAAAUGAAUACUCGAUAAACUUAGGUGGAGUAUCUGAAGUUUUUUGUAUAUAACUGUUUAACGAAAUGUUGACGGAGAAGCUGACGCAGGGAGAAAAAAAAAAUCACAGAAUAGGAUACUAAAGUGAGAAAGUACGAAACUACAGAGAUGAUAUCUAAAAUUUAUCCUUAAUGUAAUGUUACCUGUGGGGAGAGGGUCGUCAUUGUCGUUGUCGUCGCCGUUGUCAUUGUCCUCCUAAGGGAGAGGAGGUGGGAGAGGGAGGAGGCGAGUCGGGUGAGGCGGGCGUACUCCGGGUGGUCCGCCGCCCGAUCCGUUAGCCCGAACCGGCCCGCGCAGAUCUCCACCGUCCGCGCCAGCAGCAGCCCCGCGUGGGCCCCGCCAUUCAUCCCUUCCUCCCUCCACGUCACCACCCACUCAUGCCACUGCAUACAUAUACAUAUUAUUAUUAUUAUUAUUAUUAUUAUUAUGAGUUCGGCUAGGAUACUAUCGAUAGUACGAAGCAUUUUGUGCUAUUAAAUUUUCUGUCGUUAAAUUUAUUUAUUUUUUAUCAUUUUCAUCCGUUUGAUUAUACUAUUCAACUAACUACCUACUCAACCCUAGGAGGCCCACAUCAUCCUCACCGCACAUCUUUUAAUCAAAGGAUAGAAAACUUAAUAGCACGAAGUCAUUGGUGCUAUUAAUAAUAUUCGGGCCUAGUUCUUAUUAUUAUAUACAUAUAUAAAUAUAAUAUGUAUAUAUGUAUAUGAUAUAUGAACGUACACACCCGCCAACACAAACAGCAAACAAACAAAUCAACAAGAAGCGAACAAUGAAUAUAUCGAUAUAGAGUAUGACUCUCGUAUUUAUAAGUUGUUUUGUAUCAUAAAAUUUCUGUAUCGGCGAUUCAUACCGUUAAAUAUUAUUUAGAGUAUUUAAUGCUUUUUGAAAUCAAAUUUUAUAAUUUUUCAAUAUUAUUUAUCUUAUAAUAAAAAAGUCACAAAAUUGAUAAUUUUUAACGACCGGUAUGAAAUACUUUUUAGUUAAAUGGUGCAAAAUAAUUAGAAUAAGUUGAAUUUUUUAUAGAAAAGCCUAUUCACUACUUAUAUAAAGAUCAAUAACUCCGAUUUUAAAUUAAAGGAUCCGAUCAUCUAUUUUUAGAACGUCGUUCGAUUUUGACUGUUUAUUUUAUGCCUGCUUGAUAGACUUUAUAAUAAUUAAUAAAAAAAAGUUGGUAAUAAUAAAAU